This 3442-nucleotide long non-coding RNA is filed under the name Homo sapiens (human). Its description in RNAcentral is "non-protein coding SOX2-OT:84". The stretch from base 507 to 782 matches the Rfam family "SOX2 overlapping transcript exon 3". Lineage: Eukaryota; Metazoa; Chordata; Mammalia; Primates; Hominidae. The record is from RNAcentral.
AAUGCAUUUGCUUUCAGCCGCAGAGAGAAGAAGCUGCCCAAGAAUGGAAAGGAAGAAAUAUAUCACAUCAUCUGUCUGUCCACAGGCUUUCCUUGGGGCUUAUGAAGUGAAUGAAGGAGGGAAGAAAGGAGAGACAGAGAAAAUAUGGAUUUCCUCAUGGUUGUGAUUCCUCUUCACUCUUUUGAAUUUGGAAGGAUGGCAUACACAUCUGAAAAAUACCACUACUUCCUUCAUUGGACUGCAAGGUAUUUCUGUUUGGAAAAGUAAUGGAGUCCAGUCAACUUCAUUGAUCGCCAAGGACUGUCAAAAUUAUAAAACUUGCUGUGGAGCUCUGACAUGCCAGAAGCCGCUAGAAAAAGAAGUUUGACAUUCAGAAACUUAUCAAGAGGUUCUACUCUUUGGAUAGAGACCAAAAUCAUACUUUGAAAAAGCCUGACAGGUUUCUUCGGAAAAGUGGCCAUCCAUGGAAUGAAUGAAAUGUUCUCUUUCUAUUCCAGGGAUUGCAGUGGCAAAGCUAGGCUAGGUCUUGGAGGCUGGUGUAAGGCGAUGUGGGUGAAGGCAGGAGGCUGAUGGAAAGACUGGGGGGAAGAAAAGCCGAAAUGGAUUCACGGUGCCUUGGAUGAAGGACGAGAGGGGAACUGCAAGCUCCUUCAACUGGUUCUGUCCGGUGAGAAGUGAUCAAGCUUGGGCUGACAAGAGGCUCAGGGAGCCCUCACGUUCUUUCGCUUUUUUACCUGCCAAUCAAACUGCUACAAGACAACACCCUGAUCUGGCAUGGACAUAUCCAACUUAGAAAUAAUGUUUCAUUCAAGAUAAGGCUCGUGGCUUAGGAGAUUGUGACCUGGCUUGCAUCAUUCUAAGACUUCUAUCGUCUGUUUUCAAAACCCAAGGAGGACCUCCUUUUCUGUGUGAUAGUUCCUCAUGCUUUGCCAGCCACUGGGUCUUUAAGGAAGCUUGCCAAGAGUUCCCGGCUGGGAAGGACAGUUCGAGUUCAUCAUAGACAAUGAGCUGGCACCACAGUUUAAGUGACUCACCAACCUGGUUGCCCACUUCAAAAUGUCAAGAACCACACUAUCUAAUUGAAAGAACUGUGUUUUAGCAAAGUGUAAUUGGAUCGCCUGGCAAGAUCAUCUCAAACUAUGUCUCUGACCUUGCCUUUCAGUGGCUAUUUUGAGCACAAGAGGAGAAAGGAAAUGAUUCCUGAAUUAUAUCUUGUUUUUAAAAAUUAAGAUUAAUUAAUACUUGGUUUUAUGUUCAUUCCAUUGUAGGAACUUAGUGAUUAUUACAAAACAGUCAAAAUAGGUCAUAGCAAAAUGAACGUUUAAGAUUAGGUUAAAACAUUCCUCUGAAAUUUUAGUAUUCACUUUUGAAGUGUCAAUUACUAUAUUUCUGUAAUUUCUCAUUUUUUUCUUGGCUUAGAGUCAAGAUGAAAAAUGAUAUUUGAAUCAAAGACAUUGUUUUGUUAUAUAGCCACUCCUUUCUAAAAUGCAAAUCCACCCUCCCCUCACCAAUGCUUUAUUCUUUGUGCGCGCACACACACACACACACACACACACACACACACACACACACAGACAUACACAGAACCAGCACCCAAAUGGUAGAGGAGGUCCUUCCAAGACUUCUAGGACCUGGAUCAUGUAAGCAGUAGAUGAGAAAAUGAAGUAAGAGAUAUAGAGUAAUAACAAUAAAAGUCAAUGAUUUCAUUUUACAAAAAAGUCAUUGUGUAGUACUCAGAUAUUUUUAAGAGCAAGUAUUAUUAUGACUAAAGUAUAUUAUACUUCUAAAUUAUUAUGAUUCUCAUCUAAUUUCAAGCCACACAUAGGCGCCAUUUGAAAGCAUUUUGUGUUACAACCUAUCAACAAAAAUCAACUAAUAGUUUUAUAACGUGCAUAGGUUUACCCCAUGGGGAAUUAAAAUUUUUAUCUGCAAGUAUUUCUGUUGUUGUGAGACUUUAGGACAAGACAACAUUUGGUGUUAACAUAGAAGAAUAUUCUAUGGCUUUUUUAGCUUUAAAGUUCAUUACUCUAAAAUAAAGUACACGUGGUAUUUUUUUCUUCCUAGUGUUCUCUUAUUAUAUGUAGAGUAUUUUCGGUUGUUGUUUUUAACGUAUACAUUAUUUUUAUUAAGUCAUUUCAUAAAAGAUAAGAUAUAUACUAAUAGACCCUUGGUUUUCUCCUAAUUUAAUUAUUUCAAGUCAAGCAAAAUUGGGCAAUUUUCUUUCAGGAAAAAAAAAAUAUUGAGCAUGAUUUUGAGGUAAAACUGAUUAUUUACAGCAUCUUUUCUCUAAUAGGCUAACAUUUAUGAUGGAUCUUAUUUCAAAGUUGAUUAUUCUCAAAGAAAAGUGGAGAUAUUAGAAUUUCCGAGUAAAUUGCAUUGUUUUAAAAAGUACUUUAAUGCAUUGUUCACAUUGUUGCCAGCUAUUGACCAAAAAAGAGAAGAAGAAAAAAGAAAUAAAAAAAGCAGUAUCUGCUCCAAACGUCAAGUUUUGCAGUUUGAAAGACUUGUACAUUAUAAUUGUUUUUUUCUUUUUUGGAAAGCAGUAGUAAUUAAUACCAAAGGCAUAGACAAUUUAGGGCCAUAACCUCCCUUCCCCCCUCUCCACCUUUUUUUUUUUUUUUUUUUUUUUUUAACUUUAACCAUGAUAGGCAUCUCUGCAAGGUAGGUUUUAACAUAUUUUUUUCCUAAUUUUUUUCCCUCCAUUCAGUAAGAAGGAUAAGCUUUUAGAGUACCCAGUCACCGUGGUAACUGCCAAAAAAAUUCUCCUGAAGUUUGAAGAGGUCAGCUAGCAGGGUCAACAACCCUGGCCUCUCUCUGAGCUCGGUCUAGCAUGCCCCAGCCUGCGGUUGGAGUGUCAGGCCAGAUCUGACCCUGGGAGGUGGACCAUUCUGGCUCUGAUAUAAAUUUUUCGAGUCAGUUCAUGGCCUGGACUCUCCAGGUGGCCUCCAAAAUCGAUUUUGACCCCCUGACCCUGUCUCACGGAGGCAUAGCAUCCACCCUAAGUAAGGAUUUAGCCAGGAAUGACAGCUUUCCACUGAGUGUUAUUGGGGACAGUAUAAACAGUUUGGAAAGCAAGUAAGGAGGUGUGAGGGCUAGCAAUCAUUAAAAGCACAUUAAAAAACAAUUUUUAAAAAUCUUUAUUAGAGAAAGUUGUAAAUGCAUAUCUGUUACAGAAUUCCUGUGAUUUGUAGAGUUUUCUAGUCAGUUUUGAAUAUAAAUAGGUCACAUAUCUUUAUCUUUUUGCAUACUUUGUUACAAAUAUGCAAAUAAGAUAGGCAUACUUGCUACAAAAUAGGUACAGCAGGAAUGUAAUAUGUUCAGAAAAGGCAAACUGGUUAUUAAAACACAUUAACAGGUAAGGAGUUUCUAAUAUUUUAAAUACUAAAAUUUUACAUGUGUAUUUUGAAGUUUUUAAAAUGGAAAAAUAAAGAACCUUUAAAAA